This 236-nucleotide long non-coding RNA is filed under the name Hordeum vulgare. Its description in RNAcentral is "long non-coding RNA (HVUL_LNC010125)". Lineage: Eukaryota; Viridiplantae; Streptophyta; Magnoliopsida; Poales; Poaceae. The record is from RNAcentral.
GGGGGUCGAGGGUCAGUGUCGGGGUGCCGGGUUCCUUUUUCCUCUUCUUUCUUCUUCUCAUAUCUCCUCUUUUUCUUCGUAUUCCUCUUCUUCUUCUUCUUCUUCUUCUUCUUCUUCUUAUUAUUAUUAUUAUUAUUAUUAUUAUUCUUUCUCCUCCUGCUCCUCCUCCUCCUCUUCUUCUUCUUCUACUAUUACUUCUUCUUCUUCUUAUUCUUUUUUCUCCUCCUCCUCCUCCU